UGCUAUUCCUGCCGCAUAACUCUCUCUUCCCCAGGCUUUUCCCAUCUCCAUCCUAUUCUCUCGCAGGUGCUGGGGGAAAAGAUUACUUCCCAGAUGCAGUAUUUACAUCUCCUCCGCCCUACUCUUCCAACUCUGCCUGAAAUAAGUGUGGUUCUCCUGUCUGUCAGACUAUGAAGAGUUCUCAAAUAUGUCUUUCCCAGCGAGGGAGAGGAGAAAACUUCAGCCUCCACGAUCGAUGUUUCUCAAGUGUCAAGGAAAAUGGAGCCUAGGAGGGCAGCCCCACAAGCAGCGUGAUGGGCAUUUAAGCCGACGCAUGUGCCAGGUCCUAGAACAGAGUAACUUCCCCAUCUCAACACAAUAAAAUGGUGAUAUGAGAA
RNAcentral lists this non-coding RNA (377 nucleotides) under Pan troglodytes (chimpanzee). Lineage: Eukaryota; Metazoa; Chordata; Mammalia; Primates; Hominidae. The record is from RNAcentral.